UAAUUGAUGGCCGACGAAACCUAAUUUCGUUCUUCACUUUUCGACUUCCAUCUCUUACCUCUUCCAUUUCUCUUCUUUCCAAAUCCGUUUCGAGGAGUAAUUUCACCGUUGACGUUCCCACUUUUUUCUCUGCCUUCUUCGUCGGUUGGUUCUCAUUCUAUAUAAGCAGAUGAUUAGCGGGGGAUUGAGUAAGGAGGAUUAGGAUGCUCUGGUCGCCGGAAGUUGCAGGGAUAUCCGUAAAAUCCAUUAGAUUCGUCUUUCGGCCACCAUAGAAGAAAGGUUAUUGGUGCUGUGAUUCUACGAAGAUCUGAGAGAAUGAGAAUCAAGAUUGUUCCAAAGACCAACCAUAGGAAUCAGGGGAUUCAAAAAAUUUCCCGCACGAAGUCUUUCUCUAACAAGAGCUUAAAAGAUAUAUGCACAUGUAGCUCGGUUCUGUUCCUGAGUAACCCAAAUAUCGUAGAAUGUGUUUACACUACGGGAACUGAGAUAGCGAACAGGGCUAAAGUAAAUUGUAUCCAGAACAAUUGGGCAGUAAACGUUCAGGUGGAUGAUGAUCAAUGAUCAAACAUAUCAGAGAGUACAAAAGGGAUUAGGUACCAGGCCAUUUCUACUGCUCAGCGAGAAGAAAUUUUUUGCCCUUCACCAGGUUACUUAGAACCAAAAUGGUUUCUGGAAUUGAAGGGGUUUUCUUCUCACCUUUUUCUUUAGGAAACAUUUAUCGUACUACUGUGAUUAUAGAUUAUAAACUUUUUGAAUGUCAGAGCUUCGCCUAAGUUUAUGCUUCUUUCAAUAGUGUUCUUUAAACAGCUUAUGAGCCAACAUCUGUAUAUGUGUGUAUGUGCUUGUGAUCAGCAUGUUGCUAUGAUUGUACACUU
Long non-coding RNA from Brassica napus (rape), 875 nucleotides. RefSeq lists it as uncharacterized. The transcript is spliced from 5 exons. NCBI's taxonomy places the organism in Eukaryota, Viridiplantae, Streptophyta, Magnoliopsida, Brassicales, Brassicaceae. The record is from RefSeq and is a predicted model, not a curated record.